Molecule: ribosomal RNA, 261 nt
Filed under: uncultured bacterium
Lineage: Bacteria
Description: partial 16S ribosomal RNA
Rfam family: Bacterial small subunit ribosomal RNA
Source: RNAcentral
CGGGUGAGUAAUACAUAAUAACCUNCCCUAGACAGGGGGAGUAACUAUUGGAAACGAUAGCUAAGACCGCAUAGGUACGGACACUGCAUGGUGACCGUAUUAAAAAGUGCCUCAAAGCACUGGUAGAGGAUGGACUUAUGGCGCAUUAGCUGGUUGGCGGGGGUAACGGCCCACCAAGGCGACGAUGCGUAGCCGACCUGAGAGGGUGACCGGCCACACUGGGACUGAGACACGGCCCAGACUCCUACGGGAGGCAGCAUG